RNAcentral lists this ribosomal RNA (271 nucleotides) under uncultured prokaryote. Its description in RNAcentral is "partial 16S ribosomal RNA". It matches the Rfam family "Bacterial small subunit ribosomal RNA", at positions 524 to 794 of the family's 1533-position model. The record is from RNAcentral.
UACGUAGGGGCCGAGCGUUGUCCGGAGUUACUGGGCGUAAAGGGAGCGCAGGCGGCCAAGUCAGUCUGAAGUGAAAGCCCGGGGCUUAACCCCGGAAUAGCUUUGGAUACUGCCUGGCUUGAGUGUGCGAUAGGAAAGCGGAAUUCCAGGUGUGGCGGUGAAAUGCGUAGAUAUCUGGAGGAAUACCAGUGGCGAAGGCGGCUUUCUGGACUGACCCUGACGCUGAGGUGCGAAAGCGUGGGUAGCAAACAGGAUUAGAUACCCUGGUAGU